AUUCAGAAUAAGCUUUUAUUUAAGGAAAGAAGGAAAAAAGGGAAGGUAUAAUUGGUAGGAAAAAGAGGACAAACUAAAACGAGUCUUUAUACAGCUUUGAGCGUUACAUAACACAAGACUUCACGCUACCAAAAAUUGAAAACUUGGUUAAUUUGUGCCGUUAAUACAGAAUGAAAAAUGAAAAUCUUUCUUCAGGUCUUCCCCUCCCCAACCAUCCCUCUUUAGAGGUAACUGUUGUUAACAACUUGGUAUGUGUCUCUAUCUAAUAUAUAAAUG
This 276-nucleotide long non-coding RNA is filed under the name Bos taurus (domestic cattle). Its description in RNAcentral is "long non-coding RNA NONBTAT020461". The record is from RNAcentral. Lineage: Eukaryota; Metazoa; Chordata; Mammalia; Artiodactyla; Bovidae.